AUGGAACAAGAAUGGAACUUUUUUGUAAAUCCAAAUGGAAAACUCCUGAUAGGCAUCAGUCUUCAAGAUAAUUGUGAGAAGACACUGCAUGUUCUCAGAGUGAACAAGCUAAAGGAUCUUCUUAGCUGUUGAAGGUCUGUGAAACUGAAGUUUGUUAAAACAGCUGUAGAUUCUGAUGUCUGUUUCCACGAGUCCUGCAGAGUAUGCGACACACAGACGAUAACUGCCACCACACCAUGAGAAGUGUCUCUCUCUCUCACACACACACACACACACACACACACUUGAGUAAAUAAAAACUCACAAGAAGUUCACGAUGUUUUAAAAAAAAAAUAAUUUUAAUGUCAAAAUAGUUUCUCCCCCACUUGUCACGGGUCUGUAAGGGCACUUGUCGGGGGUCACCAAGACCACUUGUUGCGGGUCUGUAAGGGCACUUGUCGGGGUCACCAAGACCACUUGUUGCGGGUCUGUAAGGGCACUUGUCGGGGUCACCAAGACUACUUGUUGCGGGUCUGUAAGGGCACUUGUCGGGGUUCACCAAAACCACUUGUUGCGGGUCUGUAAGAGCCCUUGUCGGGGUCACCUAAACCACUUGUUGCGGGUCUGUAAGAGCACUUGUCAGAGGUCAACAAGACUCCUUGUCGGGGGUCACCAAGACCACUUGUUGCGGGUCUGUAAGGGCACUUGUCAGAGUUCACCAAGACUCCUUGUCGGGGGUUACCAAGACCACUUGUCGGGGUCUGUAAGGACACUUGUCGGGGGUCACCAAGACCACUUGUUGCGAGUCUGUAAGAGCACUUGUCGGCGUCACCAAGACCACUUGUCGUGGGUCUGUAAGGGCACUUGUCGGGGUUUGUAAGGGAACUUGUCAGAGGUCGCCAAGACCCUUUGUUGGGGUCUGAAGGAGCACUUGUCAGAGGUCACCAAGGCCCCUUGUCGCGGGUCUGUAAGGGCACUUGUUGGAGGUCACCAAGACCCCUUGUCGGGGUCUGUAAGGGCACUUGUCAGAGGUCACCAAGGCCCCUUGUCACGGGUAUGUAAUGGCACUUGUCAGAGGUCGCCAAGACCCCUUGUUGGGGUCUGAAGGAGCACUUGUCAGAGGUCACCAAGACCCCUUGUCACGGGUAUGUAAGGGCACUUGUCAGAGGUCACCAAGGCCCCUUGUCGGGGUCUGAAGGAGCACAUGUCAGAGGUCACCAAGGCCCCUUGUCGCGGGUCUGUAAGGGCACUUGUUGGAGGUCACCAAGACCCCUUGUCGGGGUCUGUAAGGGCACACGUCAGAGGUCACCAAGGCCCCUUGUCGCGGGUCUGUAAGGGCACUUGUUGGAGGUCACCAAGACCUUGAUUCUUGAAAAAGACAAAGCUGACGAGUUUCCUGUGGUGGUUGAAUCAGGUGUAGAUCUGUUAAGUAAUGACAUACCUUUUCCUCUGUGGAUUUAAGAAGACUUACUGUAAAAAAAAAAAAAAACAUAGGUUUCUAGAAAAUUCUACGAGAUGCACUGAUCCCACUCCAGUCUGCUUUCUCCCUGCAGAUGUCCGUCCAAAAUUAGCAACGACACUAAAGUGUUGACAAUAUAUAGGCUUCGUCUCCACCCACUUGUGCACUUUUGUCUCCGCCCACAAGCUGUACUCACCAGAACAGUACAACAUCCAUCAUUACAAACCUGAUGGAGGGUGUUAGAAAGCAAGUGUUCAGGCAUUCAAGGCAUUGUGACAGUGAUAAAGUUAUCGGCACACAUCGGCACACAUUUGUUGGUUCAGUCUGCCUGCCUAAAAUUAUACAUUCAUUUGAUCAAGACAAAAAUGUAAAUUCUCUCAUCAUUUACUCACCAUCAUGUCAUUACAAAAUCUCCAACUUUUCGGUGCAAAACAAAAGUCCUGUGUACUUUCACUUCCCUACUACAUUCAUACCAAUAAAAUUGAAUCACUAUAUAUCCCAGUAAAACAGUGUUAAAUAUCACAGAGCAUUAGCAAAACUCUCAUUAAACACAGACUGCUGUUCAAACAUGUAAUGAGCUGAGGCACAGGAUGACAUCAGCUGCCAUCAAAAGGGGCUAUACAAUCCAACAUGGUGUCAAACUUGCCCAUCUGAGAAUAUGCGAGAAAGUUAAACAACAUCCUGUCAACUGAAAUCAUAUGAAAACAUGCAGUUGAUUCAAUCAAGCUUCAAAU
Cyprinus carpio carpio is the source of this 2172-nucleotide long non-coding RNA. Lineage: Eukaryota; Metazoa; Chordata; Actinopteri; Cypriniformes; Cyprinidae. The record is from Ensembl.